This 497-nucleotide ribosomal RNA is filed under the name uncultured bacterium. RNAcentral's name for it is "partial 16S ribosomal RNA". It matches the Rfam family "Bacterial small subunit ribosomal RNA", at positions 28 to 507 of the family's 1533-position model. The record is from RNAcentral.
GACGAACGCUGGCGGCGUGCCUAAUACAUGCAAGUCGAACGCUGAAGAGCGGAGCCUGCCCUUCUUGGAAGAGAUGCGCAAAGGUGAGUAAAGCGUAGGUAAACCCUCUUGCAGAGGGGGAUACAUAUAGGGAACGCUAUCUAAUAUCGCAUAACACAGGAUGAAACACGUCAUUUAUUUUAAAGAGGUAAUUGUUCUACCACAAGAAGGUGCUGCGUUGUAUUAGUUAGUAGGUGAGGUCACGGCUCACCUAGGCGACGAUACAUAACCGACCUGGGAGGGUGGUCGGCCACCCUGGGACUGGGGCCCGGCCCAGGCUCCUUCGGGAGGCAGCCGUAAGGGAUCUUCGGCAAUGGGGGCAACCCUGACCGGGCCACGCCGCGUGGGUGAAGAAAGUAUUCGGAUCGGAAAGCUCUGUUUGUAGUCAAGGACGGGUGUGGGAGUGGAAAGUUUACGCAGUGACGGUAGCUUACCAGAAAGGGACGGCUAACUACGUG